RNAcentral lists this ribosomal RNA (465 nucleotides) under uncultured bacterium. RNAcentral's name for it is "partial 16S ribosomal RNA". It matches the Rfam family "Bacterial small subunit ribosomal RNA", at positions 28 to 507 of the family's 1533-position model. The record is from RNAcentral.
GACGAACGCUGGCGGCGUGCUUAACUCAUGCAAGUCGAACGGAAAGGCCCCUUUGGGGGUACUCGAGUGGCGAACGGGUGAGUAACACGCGAGUAACCUGCCCUCGACUUCGGGAUAACUUCAGGAAACUGGGGCUAAUACCGGAUAGGAAUCCUUGCUGCAUGGUGGGGGUUGGAAAGCUUCGGCGGUUUUGGAUGGACUCGCGGCUUAUCAGGUUGUUGGUGGGGUAGUGGCUUACCAAGGCUUUGACGGGUAGCCGGCCUGAGAGGGGGAGCGGCCAAAUUGGGACUGAGGUACGGCCCAGACGCCUACGGGAGGCAGCAGUGGGGAAUGUUGCACAAUGGGCGGAAGCCUGAUGCAGCAACGCCGCGGGCGGGAUGACGGCCUUCGGGUUGUAAACCGCUUUCAGCAGGGGAGAAGCUUGUGGUGACGGUACCUGCAGAAGAAGCACCGGCUAACUACGUG